UAAGUCCCGCAACGAGCGCAACCCUUGUCCUUAGUUGCCAGCCUUUAGUUGGGCACUCUAAGGAGACUGCCGGUGACAAACCGGAGGAAGGUGGGGACGACGUCAAGUCAUCAUGGCCCUUACGUGUAGGGCUACACACGUGCUACAAUGGUAUGUACAGAGGGAAGCGAGACAGUGAUGUGGAGCGGACCCCUUAAAGCAUAUCGUAGUCCGGAUUGGAGUCUGCAACUCGACUCCAUGAAGUCGGAAUCGCUAGUAAUCGUGAAUCAGAAUGUCACGGUGAAUACGUUCCCGGGCCUU
RNAcentral lists this ribosomal RNA (300 nucleotides) under uncultured bacterium. Its description in RNAcentral is "bacterial SSU rRNA". It matches the Rfam family "Bacterial small subunit ribosomal RNA", at positions 1081 to 1382 of the family's 1533-position model. The record is from RNAcentral.